GAUGAACGCCGGCGGUGUGCCUAAUACAUGCAAGUCGAACGCGUUGGCCCAAUUGAUUGAUGGUGCUUGCACCUGAUUGAUUUUGGUUGCCAGCGAGUGGCGGACGGGUGAGUAACACGUAGGUAACCUGCCCAGAAGCGGGGGACAACAUUUGGAAACAGAUGCUAAUACCGCAUAACAGCGUUGUUCGCAUGAACAACGCUUAAAAGAUGGCUUCUCGCUAUCACUUCUGGAUGGACCUGCGGUGCAUUAGCUUGUUGGUGGGGUAACGGCCUACCAAGGCGAUGAUGCAUAGCCGAGUUGAGAGACUGAUCGGCCACAAUGGGACUGAGACACGGCCCAUACUCCUACGGGAGGCAGCAGUAGGGAAUCUUCCACAAUGGGCGCAAGCCUGAUGGAGCAACACCGCGUGAGUGAAGAAGGGUUUCGGCUCGUAAAGCUCUGUUGUUAAAGAAGAACACGUAUGAGAGUAACUGUUCAUACGUUGACGGUAUUUAACCAGAAAGUCACGGCUAACUACGUGCCAGCAGCCGCGGUAAUACGUAGGUGGCAAGCGUUAUCCGGAUUUAUUGGGCGUAAAGAGAGUGCAGGCGGUUUUCUAAGUCUGAUGUGAAAGCCUUCGGCUUAACCGGAGAAGUGCAUCGGAAACUGGAUAACUUGAGUGCAGAAGAGGGUAGUGGAACUCCAUGUGUAGCGGUGGAAUGCGUAGAUAUAUGGAAGAACACCAGUGGCGAAGGCGGCUACCUGGUCUGCAACUGACGCUGAGACUCGAAAGCAUGGGUAGCGAACAGG
Molecule: ribosomal RNA, 792 nt
Filed under: uncultured Lactobacillus sp.
Lineage: Bacteria; Bacillati; Bacillota; Bacilli; Lactobacillales; Lactobacillaceae
Description: bacterial SSU rRNA
Rfam family: Bacterial small subunit ribosomal RNA
Source: RNAcentral